RNAcentral lists this ribosomal RNA (253 nucleotides) under uncultured bacterium. RNAcentral's name for it is "partial 16S ribosomal RNA". It matches the Rfam family "Bacterial small subunit ribosomal RNA", at positions 524 to 776 of the family's 1533-position model. The record is from RNAcentral.
CACGUAGGGCGCAAGCGUUGUCCGGAAUUAUUGGGCGUAAAGAGCUCGUAGGCGGUCUGUUGCGUCCGCUGUGAAAACUCGGGGCUUAACCCCGAGCCUGCAGUGGAUACGGGCAGACUAGAGUACUGCAGGGGAGACUGGAAUUCCUGGUGUAGCGGUGAAAUGCGCAGAUAUCAGGAGGAACACCGGUGGCGAAGGCGGGUCUCUGGGCAGUAACUGACGCUGAGGAGCGAAAGCGUGGGGAGCGAACAGG